AUGUGGGAAGGCCCAGACAGCCAGGAUGUUGGCUUAGAAGCAGCCAUCAUUUAAAGAAAGCGUAAUAGCUCACUGGUCGAGUCGGCCUGCGCGGAAGAUGUAACGGGGCUAAACCAUGCACCGAAGCUGCGGCAGCGACGCUGAUGCGUUGUUGGGUAGGGGAGCGUUCUGUAAGCCUGUGAAGGUGUGCUGUGAGGCAUGCUGGAGGUAUCAGAAGUGCGAAUGCUGACAUAAGUAACGAUAAAGCGGGUGAAAAGCCCGCUCGCCGGAAGACCAAGGGUUCCUGUCCAACGUUAAUCGGGGCAGGGUGAGUCGACCCCUAAGGCGAGGCCGAAAGGCGUAGUCGAUGGGAAACAGGUUAAUAUUCCUGUACUUGGUGUUACUGCGAAGGGGGGACGGAGAAGGCUAUGUUGGCCGGGCGACGGUUGUCCCGGUUUAAGCGUGUAGGCUGGUUUUCCAGGCAAAUCCGGAAAACUAAGGCUGAGGCGUGAUGACGAGGCACUACGGUGCUGAAGCAACAAAUGCCCUGCUUCCAGGAAAAGCCUCUAAGCAUCAGGUAACAUCAAAUCGUACCCCAAACCGACACAGGUGGUCAGGUAGAGAAUACCAAGGCGCUUGAGAGAACUCGGGUGAAGGAACUAGGCAAAAUGGUGCCGUAACUUCGGGAGAAGGCACGCUGAUAUGUAGGUGAAGUCCCUCGCGGAUGGAGCUGAAAUCAGUCGAAGAUACCAGCUGGCUGCAACUGUUUAUUAAAAACACAGCACUGUGCAAACACGAAAGUGGACGUAUACGGUGUGACGCCUGCCCGGUGCCGGAAGGUUAAUUGAUGGGGUCAGCGCAAGCGAAGCUCUUGAUCGAAGCCCCGGUAAACGGCGGCCGUAACUAUAACGGUCCUAAGGUAGCGAAAUUCCUUGUCGGGUAAGUUCCGACCUGCACGAAUGGCGUAAUGAUGGCCAGGCUGUCUCCACCCGAGACUCAGUGAAAUUGAACUCGCUGUGAAGAUGCAGUGUACCCGCGGCAAGACGGAAAGACCCCGUGAACCUUUACUAUAGCUUGACACUGAACAUUGAGCCUUGAUGUGUAGGAUAGGUGGGAGGCUUUGAAGUGUGGACGCCAGUCUGCAUGGAGCCGACCUUGAAAUACCACCCUUUAAUGUUUGAUGUUCUAACGUUGACCCGUAAUCCGGGUUGCGGACAGUGUCUGGUGGGUAGUUUGACUGGGGCGGUCUCCUCCUAAAGAGUAACGGAGGAGCACGAAGGUUGGCUAAUCCUGGUCGGACAUCAGGAGGUUAGUGCAAUGGCAUAAGCCAGCUUGACUGCGAGCGUGACGGCGCGAGCAGGUGCGAAAGCAGGUCAUAGUGAUCCGGUGGUUCUGAAUGGAAGGGCCAUCGCUCAACGGAUAAAAGGUACUCCGGGGAUAACAGGCUGAUACCGCCCAAGAGUUCAUAUCGACGGCGGUGUUUGGCACCUCGAUGUCGGCUCAUCACAUCCUGGGGCUGAAGUAGGUCCCAAGGGUAUGGCUGUUCGCCAUUUAAAGUGGUACGCGAGCUGGGUUUAGAACGUCGUGAGACAGUUCGGUCCCUAUCUGCCGUGGGCGCUGGAGAACUGAGGGGGGCUGCUCCUAGUACGAGAGGACCGGAGUGGACGCAUCACUGGUGUUCGGGUUGUCAUGCCAAUGGCACUGCCCGGUAGCUAAAUGCGGAAGAGAUAAGUGCUGAAAGCAUCUAAGCACGAAACUUGCCCCGAGAUGAGUUCUCCCUGACUCCUUGAGAGUCCUGAAGGAACGUUGAAG
Molecule: ribosomal RNA, 1791 nt
Filed under: Escherichia coli
Lineage: Bacteria; Pseudomonadati; Pseudomonadota; Gammaproteobacteria; Enterobacterales; Enterobacteriaceae
Description: partial 23S ribosomal RNA
Rfam family: Bacterial large subunit ribosomal RNA
Source: RNAcentral